UUAAUAAAGUAUUAACUGCAUAUUUAGAAACUCGUCAGAAAGUAAACAAUUAGUCUAUUAAUUCCAAAAACAUGCAAUCUGUUGCCAUUAACUUCUCAUUAAACCUGAAAAAUCUAAUCUGCAACAUGCAAUCAAAGAACCUCUAAAUGAAAAAGUUAAAAUAUUUAAUGUAUUAGAAAAUUGAACACAUUGGUUAGAGGAUUUAGAAUUAUUCAAAAUUGAACUGUACUUAAGGAAACAAACCUGUUCCAGGAGCUUCCCGUUCAAAAUCAAAGAUAGAAACCGGACUUGAAUCUUCUGAACCACAUUCAGUGUCCACCUUCUUUUCUGCAUAACACGUUGUUCCCUUCUUUCUCCUCUUCACUUUCUCACCAUUGGUUACUUCCUUGCGGUUCAUGUUGUGUGAGAAUGUCGCCGUUUCUGAAUCAAGGUACUCCUUUUCAAAACAAGCCAUGAACAGUGUAGAAGUGUUGGCAAAUUGAAUUUUGUGUUCGCCAUCAUUUCCAACAUUGGCAGAAGACAUGUCUGAUAAGUUCCCCUUCUCAUCAUGCACCUUUUCUCUCUUGUUUCUCUUGAACUCGCCUCUAUCUUUUAAACCCUUUUCUUUUUUUCUCUCUUUGGACCUGAAUUCUCCAUCAUCACAUCCACGUUCGAAGCUGAGUACCAAGAAGUUCUCAUUUUCAAGCAAUGUUGGGAACUCGCGGAAUGAUGAAGAUUUGGCAUGAUUCUGAAGACCCUCCUCCAUUCGCUUGCAUUCCCCCAAGUAGUCCACAGAGUUCAUGGAUUUGCUACGUGAAAGUGAAGAACUUGAUUCAAUGGGUCUCUCUCUCUCACCCAUUGGUUCCAAACCCAUUAAUCUUUCCACUAACCCAGGAGUAAUAGUAGUAGUGGUGGUGGUAGAUUCAUUGUCUGGUUUAGUCUUCAAUUCUUGAACUUUUCCACCCAUCUUUGACAUUGAAUCAAGUUCUCUUAAUUGGUCUGAUGGGUGUGUUGGAAGGCCACCAGAGCAGAGAAUCCUGCGCAAGAUGGCAGUGAGACACCCUGCUGUUGAACUUUUGGAGUUGCACAAAGAUGGAUCAAAGCUGAGGGUGGAUGAAGAUGACGGUGUAGAUGAAUAAGAUGGUGAGAUCAAGAGCUUCAUGUUGAAGGAUCUAGUAAACAAGAAAAAGAGCUAAAGAGAAUAGAAUGAUGAAAAAAGUGGAACGAUUUUCUUUUUGGAUUUCGAACUCUCCAAAGAGAAAGGUGCAAUGGUUAUGAAAUGGGAGCAAUCAAAAGUGAGAUUUGAAUUUCGCUAUAUCAGAGAGAAGGGUGGCGGGAUCUGCAUUUGAAUGUUUGUGAGAGGUAGCAAGUUAGAGUGGGAGUAGCUGGUAAUGUCAGUAGCCUGGCCAAAUUCUCUUGGGUUCUGCAGCCGAAG
Molecule: small RNA, 1414 nt
Filed under: Vigna angularis var. angularis
Lineage: Eukaryota; Viridiplantae; Streptophyta; Magnoliopsida; Fabales; Fabaceae
Description: Non-protein coding transcript
Source: RNAcentral